This 2616-nucleotide ribosomal RNA is filed under the name Clostridioides difficile P25. RNAcentral's name for it is "bacterial LSU rRNA". It matches the Rfam family "Bacterial large subunit ribosomal RNA". The record is from RNAcentral. Lineage: Bacteria; Bacillati; Bacillota; Clostridia; Peptostreptococcales; Peptostreptococcaceae.
UUUAUUGGGGUUGCGGACAUAUCAUAACGAAGAGGUAUCGUAAUUGAAGAGGUUUGGAAAGACCCACCACAGAAGGUAAUAGUCCUGUAUGUUAAACGAGAAGACUUUAGAUAUGAUCCAGAGUACCACGGGACACGUGAAACCCUGUGGGAAGCAGGAGGGACCACCCUCCAAGGCUAAAUACUACCUAGUGACCGAUAGCGUAUAGUACCGUGAGGGAAAGGUGAAAAGAACCCCGGGAGGGGAGUGAAAUAGAACCUGAAACCCUGCACUUACAAGCUGUGGAAGCACAUUUCUUGUGUGACCGCGUACUUUUUGUAGAACGGGCCAACGAGUUACGUUAAGUAGCAAGGUUAAGCACUUAAGGUGCGGAGCCGUAGCGAAAGCGUAGUUUUAACUGAGCGUUCAGUUACUUGACGUACGAACCCGGAAACCGGGCGACCCUACCCAUGAGCAGGAUGAAGCGAAAGUAAAAUUUCGUGGAGGUCCGAACCCACGAGCGUUGAAAAGCUCGGGGAUGACUUGUGGGUAGCGGUGAAAUUCCAAUCGAGCCCGGAGAUAGCUGGUUCUCCCCGAAAUAGCUUUAGGGCUAGCCUCAAGGUGAGAGAUACGGAGGUAGAGCACUGAAUGUCCUAGGGGGUAUUGCACCUACCGAAGACUAUCAAACUCCGAAUGCCGUCAUCUUAUACUUGGGAGUCAGACUGUGGGUGAUAAGAUUCAUAGUCGAAAGGGCAACAGCCCAGAUCGUCAGCUAAGGUCCCUAAAUGUAAGUUAAGUGGUAAAGGAUGUGGGAUUGCACAGACAACCAGGAUGUUGGCUUAGAAGCAGCCACUCAUUCAAAGAGUGCGUAAUAGCUCACUGGUCGAGUGAUCCUGCGCCGAAGAUUUCCGGGGCUAAAACUUACUACCGAAGCUACGGCAUCAGUAAUGAUGGGUAGGGGAGCUUCCCAUACGGGUUGAAGCAUGACCGUAAGGACAUGUGGACAGUAUGGGAGUGAGAAUGUUGGCAUGAGUAGCGAGAUGUGGGUGAGAAUCCCACAGGCCGUAAACCCAAGGUUUCCAGGGGAAGGUUCGUCCGCCCUGGGUUAGUCGGGACCUAAGCUGAGGCCGAAAGGCGUAGGUGAUGGACAACAGGUUGAUAUUCCUGUACUACCGAUAACCGUUUGAGAGAAGGGAUGACACAGUAGGAUAAGCUAAGCACACUGUUGGUUAUGUGUGCCCAAGCAUUGAGGCAGUCAAAGUAGGCAAAUCCGCUUUGAUAAUGCUGGGAUGUGAUAGGGAGCGAAAUUUAGUAGCGAAGUAGCUGAUUUCACACUGUCAAGAAAAGUCUCUAUCGAGGUUAAAGGUACCCGUACCGCAAACCGACACAGGUGGGUGAGGAGAGUAUCCUAAGGCCAGCGAGAGAACUGUUGUUAAUGAACUCGGCAAAAUGACCCCGUAACUUAGGGAUAAGGGGUGCCACCAUCAGGUGGCCGCAGAGAAUAGGCCCAAGCGACUGUUUACCAAAACAUAGGUUUCUGCUAAGUCGCAAGACGAUGUAUAGGAGCUGACGCCUGCCCGGUGCUGGAAGGUUAAGGGGAUCUGUUAGAGCAAUCGAAGCAGUGAACUUAAGCCCCAGUAAACGGCGGCCGUAACUAUAACGGUCCUAAGGUAGCGAAAUUCCUUGUCGGGUAAGUUCCGACCCGCACGAAAGGCGUAACGAUUUGGGCACUGUCUCAACAACAGACUCGGUGAAAUUGUAAUUCCGGUGAAGAUGCCGGAUACCUGCGACAGGACGGAAAGACCCCAUGGAGCUUUACUGUAGCUUGACAUUGGGUCUUGGUACUACAUGUACAGGAUAGGUGGGAGGCUUUGAAACCAGGACGCCAGUUUUGGCGGAGCCAUCCUUGGGAUACCACCCUUGUAGUACUGGGACUCUAACCAUAGGCCAUGAAUCUGGUCUUGGGACACUGUCAGGUGGGCAGUUUGACUGGGGCGGUCGCCUCCCAAAAGGUAACGGAGGCGCUCAAAGGUUCUCUCAGUACGGUCGGAAAUCGUACGUAGAGUGUAAAGGCAAAAGAGAGCUUGAUUGCAAGACAUACAGGUCGAGCAAGGAUGAAAAUCGGACUUAGUGAUCCGGUGGUUCUGCGUGGAAGGGCCAUCGCUCAACGGAUAAAAGCUACCCUGGGGAUAACAGGCUUAUCUCCCCCAAGAGUCCACAUCGACGGGGAGGUUUGGCACCUCGAUGUCGGCUCAUCACAUCCUGGGGCUGUAGUAGGUCCCAAGGGUUGGGCUGUUCGCCCAUUAAAGUGGUACGCGAGCUGGGUUCAGAACGUCGUGAGACAGUUCGGUCCCUAUCCGUCGCAGGCGUAGGAAAUUUGAGAAGACCUGUCCUUAGUACGAGAGGACCGGGAUGGACGUACCUCUGGUGUACCAGUUGUCCUGCCAAGGGCAUGGCUGGGUAGCUAUGUACGGAAUGGAUAAGCGCUGAAAGCAUCUAAGCGCGAAGCCAACUUCAAGAUAAGAUUUCCCACCGCAAGGGUAAGACCCCAGAAAGACUAUCUGGUUGAUAGGUCGAAGGUGUAAGUGCAGCAAUGUAUUUAGCUUAUCGAUACUAAUAGGUCGAGGACUUGACCAA